Molecule: long non-coding RNA, 441 nt
Organism: Sipha flava (yellow sugarcane aphid)
Lineage: Eukaryota; Metazoa; Arthropoda; Insecta; Hemiptera; Aphididae
Exons: 2
Source: RefSeq, a predicted model, not a curated record
UGCGUAAUGAUUAUGAUUAUUAUCGUUUAUUAUUAUUCGGCGCUCGUAUCACUGCGCGAUGGACUCGUUGACCCACAGAAUGCGCGCGCCAACACACGCGCAGUACCGGGUACAGUUACGCCCGUGCCCCAUGUGGACGACGAGGAAUUCAGAGCAUCAUUACACGUUUCGGGUUAUAAAUAAUUUCGGCUAAGUCAACGCCUAAAAUCCCCUUUGUGCGCGUAACACAAGGCUGCGCACCGGUACAGAUCGCAUCACGUUAGCAGUCGGAGUAAGGAAAACACACCAUCAACUCAACACUUAUACUAUGUAAAUCGUGUGUAUUGUUAUAGUUUUACAAUAGUAAAUAGUGAACAUCGGAAUCGUAACGCGAUAUUAAUGUCCGGUUAAAUUGAUACGGUUGUGCCGAAGGGGAAAAAAAAAAUCUUAACAAUAACAUUA